This 435-nucleotide ribosomal RNA is filed under the name uncultured bacterium. RNAcentral describes it as "bacterial SSU rRNA". It matches the Rfam family "Bacterial small subunit ribosomal RNA", at positions 28 to 445 of the family's 1533-position model. The record is from RNAcentral.
GAUGAACGCUGGCGGCGUGCUUAACACAUGCAAGUCGAACGAAGCGCUUUACCGGAUUUCUUCGGAAUGAAAGUUUUGUGACUGAGUGGCGGACGGGUGAGUAACGCGUGGGUAACCUSCCUCAUACAGGGGGAUAACAGUUAGAAAUGACUGCUAAUWCCGCAUAAGACCACAGGACCGCAUGGCCCAGUGGUAAGAACUCCGGUGGUAUGAGAUGGACCCGCGUCUGAUUAGCUAGUUGGUAAGGUAACGGCUUACCAAGGCGACGAUCAGUAGCCGACCUGAGAGGGUGACCGGCCACAUUGGGACUGAGACACGGCCCAAACUCCUACGGGAGGCAGCAGUGGGGAAUAUUGCACAAUGGGGGAAACCCUGAUGCAGCGACGCCGCGUGAGCGAUGAAGUAUUUCGGUAUGUAAAGCUCUAUCAGCAGGGA